AGAAAGAGAACGAUUGAGCGCGUGUGAGCUGGCUGGCCCUGAGCCAAAUCAGUCGCGAUGGAGUUCCCAUUUACACGCAUUAUUUGUCUGACAGACCGCGACGGUUGGAGUUCAAAUUUGUGUUCUACUGAAGAAACAAAGUCACCUAUAUCUUGGAUGCCCUGGGGAUCUGCAAUGCUCUCGGCCUGUCGACCAGGAGGAUGUUUUUUCUGACAGGCCCUAUUUCGUUGUCCCCAUCCCACUCUGGACGCGUCACUGACAGGCUGCAGGAAAUCUGGAUCCCUCACGACAGUGCUGCUAAAUUCUGUUGAUGGGGCGGCCAGGGGUUUUGCCGAAAGCGUUUUUUUGUGCAGAAGUUUGCUUCAAAAGCACAAUGAGUCGCCGCUGCAACUUCCAGGACUGGUGUUUUUCCCGGUAGUGUACACAUACAUGCUUUUGGACGUGGGCUUCUGUCAUUUUUGCCAAAAGACCUUUACUGCUCAGCCCUACGAUACCUUCCCCCUGGUAGGGGUGAUCAAAUUUUGAGGAGGUGCAUGCAUACAUUUGAAUGUCAAUUAGACUCCGCUGACAGGUUUGGCGACGUGUGCAGACAGUCAAGUGUUUGGUUGUUGAAGCAAACGCAGUCACGUGUGACAAACUGGGCCACCUACUGUCAUCCCUUCCACCAUAACGUGGGUAUUAGGUAAAUGUUCAACAUAAGGUUUAAUGUCUGUCUACUACUACAGGGAAAAAAAUCUCAUGCUUUUCUGCCUUAAAGGUGCCAUAUUCUACACUUUUGUAGCAUUUAGUGCAUUUGUCAAUGGUGUUGUUUUAAAAUAUGGUGCUAAACAACUUAGCCACUUAAAUAAUACAAUUUAAAUAGCUAAAAAAUAUACACUACACUACAUAGAGUAGAUACACUGAAGUGCCCAACUGUACUUGCACUCACCCUAUAUUUUUCUUUGAAUUGAAUUUCUAAUGUUAGUCAAUGUUUCUCAGGUUUACAUGACCAAUUUCAACACUCACUGACCUUUAGAAUUAAUCUUAAAAUUUCUGUUUUUAAAGGCUACUGUACCUUUAAGACAUCUUUAUUUUAAAUGAGCUCUGUUAUGAUUGGCUCAGCAAACCAGCAUAGAAAAUAAGCAUUGAUUUAACAUUGAAAAAUGACAUUUAAAUUAAAGACUGUUUUUAAAGGAUAAUGUACAUUUAAGACUUCUUUAUGUAAAUGAGCUCUGCUAUGAUUUGCUAACCUCAGCAAACCUGCAUAGAAAAUAAGCAUUGAUUUAACAUUGAAAAAUGACAUUUCAAUUAAAGACUGUUUUUAAAGGA
Megalobrama amblycephala (Wuchang bream) is the source of this 1308-nucleotide long non-coding RNA. RefSeq lists it as uncharacterized. Lineage: Eukaryota; Metazoa; Chordata; Actinopteri; Cypriniformes; Xenocyprididae. The transcript is spliced from 3 exons. The record is from RefSeq and is a predicted model, not a curated record.